Molecule: non-coding RNA, 73 nt
Organism: Stegodyphus mimosarum
Lineage: Eukaryota; Metazoa; Arthropoda; Arachnida; Araneae; Eresidae
Source: Rfam
GCUUUCGUGGUGUAGUGGUCAGCACGCUCGACGCGUAACCGAGAGGUCCGUGGUUCGAUUCCCGGCGAUGGAG